This 415-nucleotide ribosomal RNA is filed under the name uncultured Bacillus sp. Its description in RNAcentral is "bacterial SSU rRNA". It matches the Rfam family "Bacterial small subunit ribosomal RNA", at positions 504 to 917 of the family's 1533-position model. Lineage: Bacteria; Bacillati; Bacillota; Bacilli; Caryophanales; Bacillaceae. The record is from RNAcentral.
UGUGCCAGCAGCCGCGGUAAUACGUAGGUGGCAAGCGUUGUCCGGAAUUAUUGGGCGUAAAGCGCGCGCAGGCGGUUCCUUAAGUCUGAUGUGAAAGCCCACGGCUCAACCGUGGAGGGUCAUUGGAAACUGGGGAACUUGAGUGCAGAAGAGGAGAGCGGAAUUCCACGUGUAGCGGUGAAAUGCGUAGAGAUGUGGAGGAACACCAGUGGCGAAGGCGGCUCUCUGGUCUGUAACUGACGCUGAGGCGCGAAAGCGUGGGGAGCGAACAGGAUUAGAUACCCUGGUAGUCCACGCCGUAAACGAUGAGUGCUAAGUGUUAGAGGGUUUCCGCCCUUUAGUGCUGCAGCAAACGCAUUAAGCACUCCGCCUGGGGAGUACGGUCGCAAGACUGAAACUCAAAUGAAUUGACGGG